Molecule: ribosomal RNA, 255 nt
Filed under: uncultured bacterium
Lineage: Bacteria
Description: partial 16S ribosomal RNA
Rfam family: Bacterial small subunit ribosomal RNA
Source: RNAcentral
UACGUAGGGUGCAAGCGUUAAUCGGAAUUACUGGGCGUAAAGCGUGCGCAGGCGGUUGUGCAAGACAGAUGUGAAAUCCCCCGGGCUUAACCUGGGAAUUGCAUUUGUGACUGCACGGCUAGAGUGUGGCAGAGGGGGGGUGGAAUUCCACGUGUAGCAGUGAAAUGCGUAGAGAUGUGGAGGAACACCGAUGGCGAAGGCAGCCCCCUGGGUUAACACUGACGCUCAGGCACGAAAGCGUGGGGAGCAAACAGG